GGCUCAGACAGCUAGGAUGUUGGCUUAGAAGCAGCCAUCAUUUAAAGAAAGCGUAAUAGCUCACUAGUCGAGUCGGCCUGCGCGGAAGAUGUAACGGGGCUAAGCAAUACACCGAAGCUGCGGCAAUGUCUUUUAGACAUUGGGUAGGGGAGCGUUCUGUAAGCCGUUGAAGGUGAAUCGUAAGGUUUGCUGGAGGUAUCAGAAGUGCGAAUGCUGACAUGAGUAACGACAAAGGGGGUGAAAAACCUCCUCGCCGGAAGACCAAGGGUUCCUGUCCAACGUUAAUCGGGGCAGGGUGAGUCG
Molecule: ribosomal RNA, 303 nt
Filed under: Vibrio cholerae
Lineage: Bacteria; Pseudomonadati; Pseudomonadota; Gammaproteobacteria; Vibrionales; Vibrionaceae
Description: partial 23S ribosomal RNA
Rfam family: Bacterial large subunit ribosomal RNA
Source: RNAcentral